Molecule: long non-coding RNA, 115 nt
Organism: Thalassophryne amazonica
Lineage: Eukaryota; Metazoa; Chordata; Actinopteri; Batrachoidiformes; Batrachoididae
Exons: 4
Source: RefSeq, a predicted model, not a curated record
UCUGUUGAGAACACUGCGGUUUUAUAUGACAGAAUAAAUGGAACAUUGAAACAAAUUUUGACGGAAAUCCGUCCACAGAUGGAGGUUUUGCAGCCAUGGAUUUAUGAAGCCCAUU